CAGCCGCCGCGGUAAUACGUAGGGUGCGAGCGUUAAUCGGAAUUACUGGGCGUAAAGCGGGCGCAGACGGUUACUUAAGCAGGAUGUGAAAUCCCCGGGCUCAACCUGGGAAUUGCGUUCUGAACUGGGUGGCUAGAGUGUGUCAGAGGGGGGUAGAAUUCCACGUGUAGCAGUGAAAUGCGUGGAGAUGUGGAGGAAUACCGAUGGCGAAGGCAGCCCCCUGGGAUAGCACUGACGUUCAUGCCCGAAAGCGUGGGUAGCAAACAGGAUUAGAUACCCGUGUAGUCCCUGUCUCUUAUCA
RNAcentral lists this ribosomal RNA (301 nucleotides) under uncultured bacterium. RNAcentral's name for it is "partial 16S ribosomal RNA". It matches the Rfam family "Bacterial small subunit ribosomal RNA", at positions 509 to 809 of the family's 1533-position model. The record is from RNAcentral.